RNAcentral lists this ribosomal RNA (1225 nucleotides) under metagenome. RNAcentral describes it as "bacterial SSU rRNA". It matches the Rfam family "Bacterial small subunit ribosomal RNA", at positions 261 to 1498 of the family's 1533-position model. The record is from RNAcentral.
GGGCUCACCAAGGCGACGAUGUCUAGGGGUUCUGAGAGGAAGGUCCCCCACACUGGUACUGAGACACGGACCAGACUCUUACGGGAGGCAGCAGUGAGGAAUAUUGGUCAAUGGGCGCAAGCCUGAACCAGCCAUGUCGCGUGCAGGAAGACUGCCCUACGGGUUGUAAACUGCUUUUGUAUGGGAAGAAACGUUGGUACGUGUACCAAUUUGCCGGUACCAUACGAAUAAGGAUCGGCUAACUCCGUGCCAGCAGCCGCGGUAAUACGGAGGAUCCAAGCGUUAUCCGGAUUUAUUGGGUUUAAAGGGUGCGUAGGCGGUAGAAUAAGUCAGUGGUGAAAUCCUGCAGCUUAACUGUAGAACUGCCAUUGAUACUGUUUUACUUGAGUGUAAUUGUGGUAGGCGGAAUGUGUUGUGUAGCGGUGAAAUGCAUAGAUAUAACACAGAACACCGAUUGCGAAGGCAGCUUACUAAGUUAUAACUGACGCUGAUGCACGAAAGCGUGGGUAGCGAACAGGAUUAGAUACCCUGGUAGUCCACGCCGUAAACGAUGAUUACUCGCUGUAGGCAAUACACCGUCUGUGGCUGAGCGAAAGCAUUAAGUAAUCCACCUGGGGAGUACGUUGGCAACAAUGAAACUCAAAGGAAUUGACGGGGGCCCGCACAAGCGGAGGAACAUGUGGUUUAAUUCGAUGAUACGCGAGGAACCUUACCUGGACUUAAAUGUAGAUUGACGUAUCCAGAGAUGGAUAUUUCUUCGGACAAUUUACAAGGUGCUGCAUGGUUGUCGUCAGCUCGUGCCGUGAGGUGUCGGGUUAAGUCCCAUAACGAGCGCAACCCAUGUUGUUAGUUACCAGCACAUCAUGGUGGGGACUCUAACAAGACUGCCGGUGUAAACCGCGAGGAAGGUGGGGAUGACGUCAAAUCAGCACGGCCCUUACGUCCAGGGCUACACACGUGUUACAAUGGCCGGUACAGAGGGCAGCUACUUGGUGACAAGAUGCGAAUCUCAAAAACCGGUCUCAGUUCGGAUCAAAGUCUGCAACCCGACUUCGUGAAGCUGGAUUCGCUAGUAAUCGCAUAUCAGCCAUGAUGCGGUGAAUACGUUCCCGGGCCUUGUACACACCGCCCGUCAAACCAUGGAAGUCGAGGGUACCUGAAGUCUGUUACCGUAAGGAGCGGCCUAGGGUAAAACUGAUAACUAGGGUUAAGUCGUAACAAGGUA